Molecule: long non-coding RNA, 393 nt
Organism: Chelonia mydas (Green sea turtle)
Lineage: Eukaryota; Metazoa; Chordata; Testudines; Cheloniidae
Exons: 3
Source: RefSeq, a predicted model, not a curated record
AGAAGAAGAGAACUUCCAUCCAUUAUGGACACAAAUCAUCUGUCACUUAAACCAACUGUAACUCCAGCAACAGCAGCAGAGUUAUACCAGAUUUGCCCAGCGAUCAAUGAAAUGAGAAUUGGGUCCUAUGUAUGCUGUUGGAGAUUCAGAUAUGCAAAGAACUUGUGUGUACCCCUUCAUGAGAGAUGUGAGAAGGCUCAUGCAUUGCCAAUGAUGCAGAGAAGAUAGAAGUUAAUCUAAACGAGUUACUUAUGAAGAUCUAGGAAAAAAUGGAUGUAUGUUACUUUCUUCAUAGCCAUAUGAAGAAGGCAAACAGUACUAUUCCAGUCCAGCUGGGGAGCUGCAUGUGUUUCAAUGAUCACAGGAUCUUCUCCUUCCCAGAGGCUAGUGAAG